This 3033-nucleotide ribosomal RNA is filed under the name Salmonella enterica. RNAcentral's name for it is "bacterial LSU rRNA". It matches the Rfam family "Bacterial large subunit ribosomal RNA". The record is from RNAcentral. Lineage: Bacteria; Pseudomonadati; Pseudomonadota; Gammaproteobacteria; Enterobacterales; Enterobacteriaceae.
GGGUUGUGAGGUUAAGCGACUAAGCGUACACGGUGGAUGCCCUGGCAGUCAGAGGCGAUGAAGGACGUGCUAAUCUGCGAUAAGCGCCGGUAAGGUGAUAUGAACCGUUAUAACCGGCGAUUUCCGAAUGGGGAAACCCAGUGUGACUCGUCACACUAUCAUUAACUGAAUCCAUAGGUUAAUGAGGCGAACCGGGGGAACUGAAACAUCUAAGUACCCCGAGGAAAAGAAAUCAACCGAGAUUCCCCCAGUAGCGGCGAGCGAACGGGGAGGAGCCCAGAGCCUGAAUCAGCAUGUGUGUUAGUGGAAGCGUCUGGAAAGGCGCGCGAUACAGGGUGACAGCCCCGUACACAAAAGCGCAUGUGCUGUGAGCUCGAUGAGUAGGGCGGGACACGUGGUAUCCUGUCUGAAUAUGGGGGGACCAUCCUCCAAGGCUAAAUACUCCUGACUGACCGAUAGUGAACCAGUACCGUGAGGGAAAGGCGAAAAGAACCCCGGCGAGGGGAGUGAAAAAGAACCUGAAACCGUGUACGUACAAGCAGUGGGAGCCCCACCACCAAAGCAUUCUAUGGUGUUGAAGGCCCUGCAAAGCAGCAUCGCGGUGGCGGAGCGUCGUUUGCGACGCCCAACACACAAAACAAGCGGUGAGUGCUUUGGGGUGGGGUGACUGCGUACCUUUUGUAUAAUGGGUCAGCGACUUAUAUUCUGUAGCAAGGUUAACCGAAUAGGGGAGCCGGAGGGAAACCGAGUCUUAAUUGGGCGUUAAGUUGCAGGGUAUAGACCCGAAACCCGGUGAUCUAGCCAUGGGCAGGUUGAAGGUUGGGUAACACUAACUGGAGGACCGAACCGACUAAUGUUGAAAAAUUAGCGGAUGACCUGUGGCUGGGGGUGAAAGGCCAAUCAAACCGGGAGAUAGCUGGUUCUCCCCGAAAGCUAUUUAGGUAGCGCCUCGUGAAUUCAUCUCCGGGGGUAGAGCACUGUUUCGGCUAGGGGGCCAUCCCGGCUUACCAACCCGAUGCAAACUGCGAAUACCGGAGAAUGUUAUCACGGGAGACACACGGCGGGUGCUAACGUCCGUCGUGAAGAGGGAAACAACCCAGACCGCCAGCUAAGGUCCCAAAGUCAUGGUUAAGUGGGAAACGAUGUGGGAAGGCCCAGACAGCCAGGAUGUUGGCUUAGAAGCAGCCAUCAUUUAAAGAAAGCGUAAUAGCUCACUGGUCGAGUCGGCCUGCGCGGAAGAUGUAACGGGGCUAAACCAUGCACCGAAGCUGCGGCAGCGACACUGUGUGUUGUUGGGUAGGGGAGCGUUCUGUAAGCCUGUGAAGGUGUGUCGUGAGGCAUGCUGGAGGUAUCAGAAGUGCGAAUGCUGACAUAAGUAACGAUAAAGCGGGUGAAAAGCCCGCUCGCCGGAAGACCAAGGGUUCCUGUCCAACGUUAAUCGGGGCAGGGUGAGUCGACCCCUAAGGCGAGGCCGAAAGGCGUAGUCGAUGGGAAACGGGUUAAUAUUCCCGUACUUGGUGUUACUGCGAAGGGGGGACGGAGAAGGCUAUGUUGGCCGGGCGACGGUUGUCCCGGUUUAAGCGUGUAGGUGUGUGUUCCAGGUAAAUCCGGUUCACUUUAACACUGAGGCGUGACGACGAGGCACUACGGUGCUGAAGCAACAAAUGCCCUGCUUCCAGGAAAAGCCUCUAAGCAUCAGGUAACAUCAAAUCGUACCCCAAACCGACACAGGUGGUCAGGUAGAGAAUACCAAGGCGCUUGAGAGAACUCGGGUGAAGGAACUAGGCAAAAUGGUGCCGUAACUUCGGGAGAAGGCACGCUGACACGUAGGUGAAGUGAUUUACUCAUGGAGCUGAAGUCAGUCGAAGAUACCAGCUGGCUGCAACUGUUUAUUAAAAACACAGCACUGUGCAAACACGAAAGUGGACGUAUACGGUGUGACGCCUGCCCGGUGCCGGAAGGUUAAUUGAUGGGGUCAGCGCAAGCGAAGCUCCUGAUCGAAGCCCCGGUAAACGGCGGCCGUAACUAUAACGGUCCUAAGGUAGCGAAAUUCCUUGUCGGGUAAGUUCCGACCUGCACGAAUGGCGUAAUGAUGGCCAGGCUGUCUCCACCCGAGACUCAGUGAAAUUGAACUCGCUGUGAAGAUGCAGUGUACCCGCGGCAAGACGGAAAGACCCCGUGAACCUUUACUAUAGCUUGACACUGAACAUUGAGCCUUGAUGUGUAGGAUAGGUGGGAGGCUUUGAAGUGUGGACGCCAGUCUGCAUGGAGCCGACCUUGAAAUACCACCCUUUAAUGUUUGAUGUUCUAACGUGGACCCGUAAUCCGGGUUGCGGACAGUGUCUGGUGGGUAGUUUGACUGGGGCGGUCUCCUCCUAAAGAGUAACGGAGGAGCACGAAGGUUGGCUAAUCCUGGUCGGACAUCAGGAGGUUAGUGCAAUGGCAUAAGCCAGCUUGACUGCGAGCGUGACGGCGCGAGCAGGUGCGAAAGCAGGUCAUAGUGAUCCGGUGGUUCUGAAUGGAAGGGCCAUCGCUCAACGGAUAAAAGGUACUCCGGGGAUAACAGGCUGAUACCGCCCAAGAGUUCAUAUCGACGGCGGUGUUUGGCACCUCGAUGUCGGCUCAUCACAUCCUGGGGCUGAAGUAGGUCCCAAGGGUAUGGCUGUUCGCCAUUUAAAGUGGUACGCGAGCUGGGUUUAGAACGUCGUGAGACAGUUCGGUCCCUAUCUGCCGUGGGCGCUGGAGAACUGAGGGGGGCUGCUCCUAGUACGAGAGGACCGGAGUGGACGCAUCACUGGUGUUCGGGUUGUCAUGCCAAUGGCACUGCCCGGUAGCUAAAUGCGGAAGAGAUAAGUGCUGAAAGCAUCUAAGCACGAAACUUGCCCCGAGAUGAGUUCUCCCUGAGACUUUAGGUCUCCUGAAGGAACGUUGAAGACGACGACGUUGAUAGGCCGGGUGUGUAAGCGCAGCGAUGCGUUGAGCUAACCGGUACUAAUGAACCGUGAGGCUUAACCUUACAACGCCGAAGCUGUU